RNAcentral lists this ribosomal RNA (564 nucleotides) under uncultured bacterium. Its description in RNAcentral is "partial 16S ribosomal RNA". It matches the Rfam family "Bacterial small subunit ribosomal RNA", at positions 355 to 914 of the family's 1533-position model. The record is from RNAcentral.
UGGGGAAUUUUGGACAAUGGGCGAAAGCCUGAUCCAGCAAUGCCGCGUGUGUGAAGAAGGCCUUCGGGUUGUAAAGCACUUUUGUCCGGAAAGAAAUCCUUGGCUCUAAUACAGUCGGGGGAUGACGGUACCGGAAGAAUAAGCACCGGCUAACUACGUGCCAGCAGCCGCGGUAAUACGUAGGGUGCAAGCGUUAAUCGGAAUUACUGGGCGUAAAGCGUGCGCAGGCGGUUUGCUAAGACCGAUGUGAAAUCCCCGGGCUCAACCUGGGAACUGCAUUGGUGACUGGCAGGCUAGAGUAUGGCAGAGGGGGGUAGAAUUCCACGUGUAGCAGUGAAAUGCGUAGAGACGUGGAGGAAUACCGAUGGCGAAGGCAGCCCCCUGGGCCAAUACUGACGCUCAUGCACGAAAGCGUGGGGAGCAAACAGGAUUAGAUACCCUGGUAGUCCACGCCCUAAACGAUGUCAACUAGUUGUUGGGAUUCAUUUCCUAGUAACGUAGCUAACGCGUGAAGUUGACCGCCUGGGGAGUACGGUCGCAAGAUUAAAACUCAAAUGAAUUGAC